GAAAUAUCAUUAAUGAUUGAUAAAACUAAACCAUCAAAUCAUGAGAUGUUUUUAACAAAAACUCAGAUUAAUCAAAUUAACAAUGGUAAAAGAAUUAGAAUUAGUAGAACACAAUUGAAAAGAAUGGUGGUUUUUACUAUUUUUAAAUCUUUUAUUAAUUGCAGCAGGAAAAGCUGUGGCUAAUGGUGCUUUGGCAGGUGCUGUUGGAUAUGGAAUUAAAAAAGCUUUAGAUAAAAUAUCUGGAUCAGAUUGCUGUAAAAAAAAAAAAAAUGAGAAGGUCUAAUUCCAUUUCCUCAGGUCCUUUUCCUUUGAUUUUGUCACAUUUAAAAUGAGGGAAAGAAGUAAUUCAGAAUUGGGAAUAUCCAAUGAGACAAUAGAUGAAAACAUGAAAAACGAAAGAAGAUUUAAAGGCAUAUUUACGGUUGAUCUUUUACCUAAACAAAUUAAGACCUUUGAGAAUGGAAUUAUAAAUUUAGGUAUUUCAGCUGGGAGUGGAACUCAUUGGAAUAGCAUCCCAUUGCCAGGUGAUGAACCAGCCACACGGAAGCAUUAGCAGUGAUCGCAAUGAAUGAAGAAGUGACGUCACGGUAUUACUUUAUACUAUCUAUUGUUCAUGAUAAUGGAGCUGCAUUGAAGAUAUCAAAGAGCAGUGUGUGAUGCCUCAAUUUGGCCACUAUGGAUUACAUAUACUGUUUUUAAAAUUUUAUUUAUAGGAUUUGUUUAAAGACCUUGCAUUUUAUAAUUAUUGAAAAUGUGUUCAAGAAAAAAAUUGGUGGCAGAUUUCAUCAAAG
Molecule: long non-coding RNA, 791 nt
Filed under: Androctonus crassicauda
Lineage: Eukaryota; Metazoa; Arthropoda; Arachnida; Scorpiones; Buthidae
Source: RNAcentral